Sapajus apella (tufted capuchin) is the source of this 3421-nucleotide RNA transcript. It is a transcript of the gene named protein phosphatase 2 scaffold subunit Abeta, with no coding region annotated. The transcript is spliced from 17 exons. Lineage: Eukaryota; Metazoa; Chordata; Mammalia; Primates; Cebidae. The record is from RefSeq and is a predicted model, not a curated record.
GCGGGGCGGGGCCUGGGCGCGGGGCGGGAGGCGGUGACCAGCAGCAGUAGGAGGAGAAAGAACAUGGCGGGCGCAGCGAUGUCCGGGACCUGCGCGGGAGCAGCGGGCGGAGAUGGAGACGAUUCGCUAUACCCUAUCGCAGUUUUAAUUGACGAGCUCCGCAAUGAAGACGUGCAGCUCCGACUCAACAGUAUUAAGAAGUUAUCAACAAUUGCCCUAGCACUUGGAGUAGAAAGGACACGAAGUGAAUUGCUGCCAUUCCUUACAGAUACAAUUUAUGAUGAAGAUGAGGUACUAUUAGCUCUUGCUGAGCAGCUGGGAAAUUUCACCGGCCUAGUGGGAGGUCCUGACUUUGCCCACUGUCUGCUGCCUCCUUUGGAAAAUCUGGCGACUGUGGAAGAGACUGUUGUUCGUGACAGAGCUGUGGAGUCCCUGAGACAGAUCUCCCAGGAGCAUACUCCUGUUGCCCUGGAAGCUUAUUUUGUACCUCUGGUGAAACGCCUAGCAAGUGGGGAUUGGUUUACCUCUCGCACGUCUGCAUGUGGUUUGUUCAGCGUUUGCUAUCCCAGGGCAUCAAAUGCUGUUAAAGCAGAUAUUAGACAGCACUUCCGUUCCUUGUGCUCAGAUGACACACCAAUGGUACGACGUGCUGCUGCUUCCAAAUUGGGUGAAUUUGCAAAAGUUUUGGAAUUAGACAGUGUGAAAAGUGAAAUUGUUCCAUUGUUCACUAAUCUAGCUUCAGAUGAACAGGAUUCAGUGCGCCUCCUAGCUGUGGAAGCUUGUGUCAGUAUUGCCCAGCUAUUGUCUCAGGAUGACGUUGAGACCUUGGUGAUGCCUGCACUUCGACAAGCAGCAGAAGAUAAAUCUUGGCGAGUUCGCUAUAUGGUAGCUGACAAAUUUUCAGAGCUCCAGAAAGCUGUGGGUCCUAAAAUCACCCUAAAUGACCUCGUCCCCGCCUUUCAGAACCUACUUAAAGACUGUGAAGCUGAAGUCCGGGCAGCUGCUGCCCACAAAGUAAAAGAACUUUGUGAGAACUUGCCCAUUGAAGAUAGAGAGACCAUAAUUAUGAAUCAAAUUCUGCCCUAUAUAAAGGAAUUAGUAUCUGAUACCAGUCAACAUGUCAAAUCGGCCCUAGCUUCUGUAAUUAUGGGAUUGUCUACUAUUGUGGGCAAAGAGAAUACCAUUGAACAUCUUCUACCUCUUUUUUUAGCUCAGUUAAAGGACGAGUGUCCUGAAGUUCGUUUGAAUAUCAUCUCCAAUUUGGAUUGUGUAAAUGAAGUCAUUGGAAUUCGUCAGCUCUCUCAGUCUCUCCUUCCUGCCAUAGUGGAGCUGGCUGAAGAUGCCAAAUGGAGGGUCCGGCUGGCUAUCAUUGAGUAUAUGCCACUGCUGGCAGGCCAGCUGGGUGUGGAAUUCUUCGAUGAGAAGCUGAAUUCUUUAUGUAUGGCUUGGCUCGUGGACCAUGUUCUGGGAUACAUGUGCAGAACGUGCAGUAUAUGCCAUCCGAGAAGCUGCUACCAACAACCUCAUGAAACUAGUUCAGAAGUUUGGUACAGAGUGGGCCCAAAAUACCAUCGUUCCCAAAGUGUUAAUAAUGGCAAAUGAUCCUAAUUACUUGCAUAGAAUGACCACUUUAUUCUGCAUUAACGCACUGUCUGAGGCCUGUGGUCAGGAAAUAACCACUAAGCACAUGCUGCCCAUCGUAUUAAAAAUGGCAGGAGACCAAGUAGCAAAUGUUCGCUUCAAUGUGGCCAAAUCUCUACAAAAAAUUGGACCAAUUCUAGAUACCAGUGCUUUACAGGGAGAAGUUAAGCCAGUACUACAGAAAUUAGGUCAAGAUGAAGACAUGGAUGUCAAAUACUUCGCACAGGAAGCUAUAAGUGUGGUGGCACAAAGGCUGAGGAAGCUAGAUUUUCCUGUGAAUGACAGUGAAGAGCCCAGUGUCCCUUGGGUUGACAAGAGCCACUUCCCAAGACCCAGAGUGCCUGGAGAAGACACAGGGAAGGGGCCAGCAUAUCAGUUGCAUGGAAAUACUAGAGACACACUUGCCCAGCUGGAAAUUGCAGAGCUAGUGCAUUUCUCCCAGAGCAGAGACUAAUACUCCUGGAUUAAAACAACAUAAAAAAUAAAGUACCACACAUAUUGCACUUUUUGCCAAAUGAAAUUUUUACCUCACGUUCAUCUCACCAGAGUCUCUUCAGAGGAGCCUGGUUUACAGGAUGAUGAAGCUAAUGAUGAUGAUACAGUAGUGUACACACUGCUCCUGUGAAACAGACUGGAAAGCAAGUCAGUGCUUCAGAGUAGCCCCUCAGAAAGAGUGGUACUAAGACUUCUUAGUGUUAUAUUAGUAUUGAUGAAGAGAAAACUGCUUGGAAGCUUCCAUGGGUCACAAGUUGGGGACAGGGCAGCAGACGUGAUCAAACAGGGCUGAGCAAACACCUGACUGACCAACAGAACCAGUCUCCUCAGCAGCUUACAUUGCAGUCAAUACAGAGGGUUAUGAAAUUUAUUGAUUUCUGCUUGAAAUAAAUGAGAUAAGCAAAUAGGCGCUUACAACACAGGUUCCAGCAGGAGGGAUCGUGCUGUGCAUCAGGCCGGUGUUCACACCACUGCUGUGCCUGACGGUUCCUGAUGGGCCUGGCUACUGCAGGGUGUGUCUCCAUUUCUCUCUGGGUCCCUAACCUUCAAAUAGCCUCUCUGCAGUCCCUCAUCUGUCAGCCUAACCAUCCUGCCUUAGCUCCCAGGUCUCCUGGACUAAGCAACUCAUGGCAUUGUUGGGGGGCAGGAGUUUAUAUCAAGCUGUAACUAUACCAUUCCUGCAGUUCUGAAAUGAGCAGCCUUCACUUUCAAUCUGGAAGGCAUUUUAAUAUCGCAAAUAUUGCAGCAGCACUUCUGUAGUAUAUCUUGGGAAAAUGUCUUCCUUCAGUCUAAACAAAUCAAGCCCCAUUUUAUAACUGGCUAUUUUGCAAAGACUCGAAACAGAUUAGAGAUCUUAAUGAAAUGAUCUCUUAAAUGAAAUCAUGUUCUUUAUUUCACGAAAUCAUCAAUCUUAAGCAUGAGUAGGAAUAAACAACUCCCAGAAGGAGCUUAAGUCAUUCUUCCUGGAUUUUCACUGUGUAUGAUUAAAUCACAAAAAUGACAGUCCCCAUACUGCCCUUUCCCACUGACAUCCAGAGUCCAACUGCGAGCACAGUGCCUCUGCAAAGCGUCCUGGCACCCAUGGUGAGGGCUGGCGACCAGGCAGUCUCUGGCCAGCAACAGGGACUGCUCAGGUUACUAACGUCGGUAGAGGCUGGGUUCGCAUGGCCAGAAUGAAACCCCUUAGGCUUUCCAUACUUCCUCACCUGCCUGGACACUAACUACAAAGAGGAAAGGCAACUUAAAGGUGUUUUCUAGAUGCAGCAUCAGUUAGACUCUGUGCUUU